Molecule: non-coding RNA, 600 nt
Organism: Odocoileus virginianus texanus
Lineage: Eukaryota; Metazoa; Chordata; Mammalia; Artiodactyla; Cervidae
Source: RefSeq, a predicted model, not a curated record
CUUGGCUGAACGAGUUGCCUUGUGAGGGCCGAUAUUUUACAAAUUCUUGGAAGGAGGAAGCCACAGUCUCAUUUUGACAACCUGACUAACUUCAGAUUUGAAGAUGCAUCAAAGGACUCAAUUAUUAAAAAAAACACAAACCAAUGUUGUGCAGACAUGUUCUUUAUCUGUGUCUAACAUCUUCUUAAAAGAGGGAACCCUUGUUUCUGGGUUUUUAGGAAGAGAGAGGAUCUUAGAUUACUUUUCAGAGACCACUGCUCCGGAUGGUUCAAGUAUGGAUAAGAAGGACUCCUGAUGGGAAUCUAAGUCCAUUGCUCUUGAGACACACCCAAAACUUGGAGGCCAGAGUAUAAAGAGAAGAAAGAAAGUUCAGGCAAGAAGUCAGAAAAGUAUCACCACGAGAAAGUCACAGCUUCUAAAACAGAUUAUCACACUUUUUUAUCCUGAACAUCCAUUUCACUCAAGAGGUUCUGUGACCACCACACAUCUUCAAACCUUCUCACUUCAAAAAAGAGUAAGACCUUCAAAUUCUUUCAAUGCUACAAUAACUGGAAAACUAUGGCAAUCUAUUUCAUUUGAUUACUUCAGAACUGGUCAGAC